RNAcentral lists this RNase P RNA (213 nucleotides) under Acidobacteriota bacterium. Its description in RNAcentral is "Acidobacteria bacterium (anaerobic digester metagenome) partial RNase P RNA component class A". It matches the Rfam family "Bacterial RNase P class A", at positions 178 to 367 of the family's 367-position model. Rfam says of the family: Ribonuclease P (RNase P) is a ubiquitous endoribonuclease, found in archaea, bacteria and eukarya as well as chloroplasts and mitochondria. Its best characterised activity is the generation of mature 5'-ends of tRNAs by cleaving the 5'-leader elements of precursor-tRNAs. The record is from RNAcentral. Lineage: Bacteria; Pseudomonadati; Acidobacteriota.
CCGCGACGCUGGUAACAGCGGCGGCAGGGCAAACCCCACACGGAGCAAGGUCAAAUAGAAAAGCGCUUCCCGCAAGGGAUGAAGGGCGGCCCGUCCGAUGCUUUUGGGUAGACUGCUGGACCCCGGGAGUGAUUCCGGGGCAAGAUGAAUGAUUGCCGUUCCCGGGCUCAUACCCCGGGGAAACAGAAUUCGGCUUAUGGACGACUCCGGUGC